This 220-nucleotide unclassified non-coding RNA is filed under the name plant metagenome. RNAcentral's name for it is "partial contains small subunit ribosomal RNA, internal transcribed spacer 1, and 5.8S ribosomal RNA". The record is from RNAcentral.
UUUCCGUAGGUGAACCUGCGGAAGGAUCAUUACAGAGUUCAUGCUCUCACGGGUAGUUCUCCCACCCUUGAAUAUUUAUACCUUAGUUGCUUCGGCAUGCCGUGGAAACACCAUGGGCGCCGGCCUAUGCGUCCCUGCCAAAUGAAACAAACUCUGUAUUUAGUGAUGUUUGAGUACUAUAUAAUAGAUAAAACUUUCAACAACGGAUCUCUUGGUUCAG